GCCGGGAUGGUGGAAUUGGUAGACGCGCCGGACUCAAAAUCCGGUGCCAGUAAUGGCGUGAGGGUUCAAGUCCCUCUUCCGGCACCA
This 87-nucleotide transfer RNA is filed under the name Burkholderiales bacterium. RNAcentral describes it as "tRNA-Leu". It matches the Rfam family "tRNA". From Rfam's summary of the family: Transfer RNA (tRNA) molecules are approximately 80 nucleotides in length. RNAcentral also lists the same sequence under 1 other name. Lineage: Bacteria; Pseudomonadati; Pseudomonadota; Betaproteobacteria; Burkholderiales. The record is from RNAcentral.